CCCGGCCUGCCCCGCUCAUCU
This 21-nucleotide microRNA is filed under the name Gallus gallus (chicken). RNAcentral's name for it is "gga-miR-12285-3p". The record is from miRBase by way of RNAcentral. Lineage: Eukaryota; Metazoa; Chordata; Aves; Galliformes; Phasianidae.